RNAcentral lists this transfer-messenger RNA (369 nucleotides) under Chitinophagales. RNAcentral describes it as "JAEUUZ01 sp016786765 Standard tmRNA". It matches the Rfam family "transfer-messenger RNA". From Rfam's summary of the family: Bacterial tmRNA, also known as 10Sa RNA or SsrA, is named for its dual tRNA and mRNA-like properties. Its role is to liberate the mRNA from a stalled ribosome. Lineage: Bacteria; Pseudomonadati; Bacteroidota; Chitinophagia. RNAcentral also lists the same sequence under 1 other name. The record is from RNAcentral.
GGGGCUGACAGGUAUUGACGGGAGGUCAUGUCGGUAAACUUGCAUGCAGUGGGUGUACAUAGCACUUUAAUCCAUGUACAACAAACAAUAACUGGCGAAGAAUCUUUCGCUAUGGCUGCUUAAUCUAAGAGAUUAACCACCAUUUUCUCCUCGCUUGAGGCUACUUACACAGCGAGCUAGAAAUCAAAAACUAGUGGCUUAUUUGAAAGGUGCUUCAUUCACAUCUUUUGAAGACAUUUUCGAAUGCACGGAAUAGUGUGGUGGGUUUCUUAACACGCAUUAUUCUCGGCAAUUAAUAAGGAACUAAGCAUGUAGUAGGUCUAUCUUCAUCUUGUCCGGACGCGGGUUCAAAUCCCGCCAGCUCCACUU